UAAAGUUUAAAUAGAUUUUAUUGUUACAAGGGGGACCCCACCAAGCAGGGUCAGUGACCCCCAAGGAGGUCACCAUGGAGACAUCAAGAGGUCAUGAUUGCAGAAGAGGUGACUGGAAUUGAAUGACAUGAUCCAGGGGAGGCCGGCCACAAAUGCAGUAACAUGACCAGGAUGGGCCGGUGGGGCUGGUCAGGUCACAGUGUGAGGGACAGAACGGACCCCUUCACUCUGGCCUCCUGUAGGUCUCCAGGUGUGACAGGAUCCAGCCCGCUGGCAGGAGGAAGGUCACGAAGCAGGAGGUAAGCCCAACGGCCAAUUCCAUGAUCCCAAGCUUCCCCUCCGGCGGCAACGAAUGGAUCUUGGCGCGCGGCACUGGGAGCCGCCGGGCCGAGCCUGUCAAGCCCCGCAGCAGCAGCGGCGUCAGGACGGACAUGAUGGCACGGAGUACACCACAAAAAACGGUCAGCCGUAGCCCAAGGUCAGGAAGCCAAAAUGGCUGCGCUGGCCGGAA
RNAcentral lists this long non-coding RNA (511 nucleotides) under Homo sapiens (human). RNAcentral's name for it is "LNC_000727". Lineage: Eukaryota; Metazoa; Chordata; Mammalia; Primates; Hominidae. The record is from RNAcentral.